This 671-nucleotide long non-coding RNA is filed under the name Salmo salar (Atlantic salmon). RNAcentral's name for it is "lncRNA (ENSSSAG00000104755.1)". The record is from RNAcentral. Lineage: Eukaryota; Metazoa; Chordata; Actinopteri; Salmoniformes; Salmonidae.
GACUAGAGGUCAGGGGCUAGAGGUCAGGGACUAGAGGUCAGGGACUAGAGGUCAGGGGUUGAAGGUGCUGAAUUCCUCUCCCUGUACUCCAGACAGAUACCAUCAUUCUAAACAACUAUAAAUCACUAGUCAUCAAUUAUUUACCAGGAAUCAAUACAGCUAUCAGUUCCCCCUCCUUUAUGUCUGUCAACAACUGUGUGACUAUCAUUUACAACAACACCCACACAUAAAUAUAUAUCUAUAUGAUUACAACACCCACACAUAAAUAUAUAUCUAUAUGAUUACAACAACACCCACACAUAAAUAUAUAUCUAUAUGAUUACAGCAACACCCACACAUAAAUAUAUAUCUAUAUGAUUACAGCAACACCCACACAUAAAUAUAUAUCUAUAUGAUUACAACAACACCCACACAUAAAUAUAUAUCUAUAUGAUUACAACAACACCCACACAUAAAUAUAUAUCUAUAUGAUUACAGCAACACCCACAGAUAAAUAUAUAUCUAUAUGAUUACAGCAACACCCACACAUAAAUAUACAUCUAUAUGAUUACAGCAACACCCACACAUAAAUAUAUAUCUAUAUGAUUACAACAACACCCACACAUAAAUAUAUAUCUAUAUGAUUACAACAACACCCACACAUAAACAUAUAUCUAUAUGAUUACAACAAC